GAAUUAAUUAUAUUAGUAAGUUAUGUUGCAUUAUCAAUUAUAACUAUAGUUGUAUACAUAUUUGAUAUAUAAACA
Molecule: small RNA, 75 nt
Filed under: Arabidopsis thaliana (thale cress)
Lineage: Eukaryota; Viridiplantae; Streptophyta; Magnoliopsida; Brassicales; Brassicaceae
Description: ATSL097160
Source: RNAcentral